CAGGGAUUGCCCUAGUAACGGCGAGUGAAGCGGCAACAGCUCAAAUUUGAAAUCUGGCCUCUUUGGGGUCCGAGUUGUAAUUUGCAGAGGGCGCUUUGGCGUUGGCAGCGGUCCAAGUUCCUUGGAACAGGACGUCACAGAGGGUGAGAAUCCCGUACGUGGUCGCUGGCCUUCGCCGUGUAAAGCCCCUUCGACGAGUCGAGUUGUUUGGGAAUGCAGCUCUAAAUGGGAGGUAAAUUUCUUCUAAAGCUAAAUACUGGCCAGAGACCGAUAGCGCACAAGUAGAGUGAUCGAAAGAUGAAAAGCACUUUGGAAAGAGAGUUAAAAAGCACGUGAAAUUGUUGAAAGGGAAGCGCUUGCAGCCAGACUUGCCUGUAGUUGCUCAUCCGGGUUUUUACCCGGUGCACUCUUCUGCGGGCAGGCCAGCAUCAGUUUGGGCGGUUGGAUAAAGGUCUCUGUCAUGUACCUCUCUUCGGGGAGAUCUUAUAGGGGAGACGACAUGCAACCAGCCCGGACUGAGGUCCGCGCAUCUGCUAGGAUGCUGGCGUAAUGGCUGUAAGCGGCCCGUCUUGAAACACGGACCAAGGAGUCUAACAUCUAUGCGAGUGUUUGGGUGUCAAGCCCGAACGCGUAAUGAAAGUGAACGGAGGUGGGAACCUUUCGGGGUGCACCAUCGACCGAUCCUGAUGUCUUCGGAUGGAUUUGAGUAAGAGCAUAGCUGUUGGGACCCGAAAGAUGGUGAACUAUGCUUGAAUAGGGUGAAGCCAGAGGAAACUCUGGUGGAGGCUCGCAGCGGUUCUGACGUGCAAAUCGAUCGUCAAAUUUGGGCAUAGGGGCGAAAGACUAAUCG
RNAcentral lists this ribosomal RNA (850 nucleotides) under Vandijckomycella joseae. RNAcentral's name for it is "partial large subunit ribosomal RNA". It matches the Rfam family "Eukaryotic large subunit ribosomal RNA", at positions 69 to 937 of the family's 3401-position model. Lineage: Eukaryota; Fungi; Ascomycota; Dothideomycetes; Pleosporales; Didymellaceae. The record is from RNAcentral.